This 2373-nucleotide ribosomal RNA is filed under the name Triticum aestivum (bread wheat). Its description in RNAcentral is "partial small subunit ribosomal RNA". Lineage: Eukaryota; Viridiplantae; Streptophyta; Magnoliopsida; Poales; Poaceae. The record is from RNAcentral.
AUGAACGGCAGUGUGCUCCACCUACUCAUCUCUAUACAAUCUUUUUCAUCGGCCUCGAAUAGAUUCAGUUCUUUUGGAUGGGUCAGCAGCCUCCCCUUCAGCAUGGGCGCUCAUGUUGAUGGAGCUAGCACCCACGCCUUUAGUGCCAUCUACAUCCACCAAGUCACCCUAGCUGACUAUAGGAGCACCAUCCGCAGCUUCUUUCUGUCACAACACAGUAGUGGUAAGGGUCUCAGGAGCACUCAAGAUGAUGGAGGAAGCGCCUCCCUUAACCCCUACAUCAGCCUGAUCCGGCUCGUUCACCCACCUAGACACGAUGUCCAUCCCAGCAUCAUUGAGAGGCCCCUGUCCUGGGAACCUGCAGCCCCAGCGUCUCCUCCCCACAAUUCUACACACCAGCAGAAGUGGGAAACAAAGGCGCCGCAGCGAUCGCCAGGCCUAAGGCAUUUGUCUUUUUUAAUAGAAAAGGGAGACCAAGGCCCAAGGAGGUGGAGCACAAUAAACCCCAAAAUUCGAUAUAACAUUUCAGAUACGUACGCCGCCGUCGUCAUCCGGCUGGAUCUCCACCACUACGGGACGAUGGCAAAGAGGUCCAGGAAGAAGAAGGAUCAGCCGGCGGCGGCGGCAGAGAACCUCCCCGAUGAUCUCCUCGUGGAGGUUCUUGCGCGGGUGCCGUACAGAUCCCUCUGCCGCUUCAAGUGCGUGUCCAAACCAUGGCUCGCCCUCUGCUCCGACCCCGGCAUCUGGAAGAGGUCGCCGCAGGCCCUAUCGGGCUUCUUCUGCUACGCCUGCGACGACCAGAAGCACGAGCUCCGCUUCCUCGGCCUGCCGGGGCGAGGCCAGCCCCUCGUCGACCCCGGCCUCCCCUUCCUGCGCGGCGCGUGGGACGGGGGCGUCCAGACCGUGGACUGCUGCGGCGGCCUCCUCCUUUGCCAAUGCUGGAAGAGACCUUCUCGAGCCGGCUCCGCCGGCGUGGAGUACGUCGUGUGCAACCUGGCCACCAAGGAGUGGACCAUCGUGCCUGCCACCAAGCAGCUGCACCCGAGCAAGAAGAACACCGUCCGCUUGGGUUUUGACCCACUCGUCCCCUCCCGCUUUGCCGUGUUCGUGCUCGUGCGUGGCCACGGGGUCACCAGAGUGGAGAUCUUCUCAUCGGAAACCGGGAGGUGGAUUUCCAAGGAGAGCGAGUGGGGCGACCGCACCAGCGUGGACGAUCACAAUUGUUCAGCCUCUGUCUUCUUCGGUGGGGCGCUGCAUCUGACAACCAGCGAUUCUUCCUUGAUCACGGUGGACACCGAGGGGAAUACUUGGCGGCAAAUCCGAAUGUCGCUCAGCCUAGAGGACACCUCGGAUUACGGUUAUAUCGCGCAGUCUCAGGGACGCCUGUAUGCAAUGCAUAUGGAUUACUGCAAUGAUAAGUGCGAGCUCUCAGUGUGGGUUCUUGAAGAUUAUGCUAGUGGGCAGUGGACUUUGAAGCAUACAGCUGACAUGUCGGGAAUGAUAGGCCACGAUGAGAUUGCUACUAUAUGGAGGGCUGGGCGAAUUGAUAUCUGUGUGGGCUGCGAUUUCCCCAGAAGGUUCAUAUUUUCGAGCUCUCCUCCACUCAGAGGCGCCUCCACCGCCCUUAUUCCCUUCCGACCAGCGACGGGCCCUAUCCUACUAGCCGCACCUCCCCCUCUCUAUCGGCCGCACCUUUCUUCUCCCGAGGAUCGUCGCCCUAACUUUCUUGUGUCGCUCAAGCUUGAACGCGGUUUUUGCACGCGCAUGACAUCCAGCCUGGGACGACCUGGACGGCGGCGUGUGCAGGGGGUCCCGUGUGGCGGCCACACUCAAACUUGCCCCUAUGCUAGCGCCGUCUCCUCCCCCAUCCUAGCCCCUGGUGCGGUUGCAGCGGCCACAAAAUCCGGCGUCUGUGCCACCCCGUGGACGCCCCUAUCUGAGGUGCACGUCGGGUGUCACCGUGAACGUCUCGACGUCAGUGCCAUAGCCUGCGCCGAGCGAGGGGCGAUGGAGCCUGCAGGCGAUGCGAGAUCAGCCAAAAAGAUGGGGGUUCAGUACCUCCCACACGCGACGGCGCACAGGCUUAGAUGUGUGUUGCGCUCUCAUUCUCAUUUGUUUAGCCAAGUUCAAAUGUCGUCUCUCAGUGAUGUUGUUGCUCUCGUGGCCAGCGCUGCGGCGCCCGGGCUCAUCGUCUCCUUCGGUGAAAUUCUGAUUGACAUUGUGUCCGACGUACCCGGUGUCUCGCUUGCCGAGUCCGCGGGCUUCGUGAAGGCGCCCGCCAACGUCGCAUGCGCCGUCUCCGAGCUUGGCAAAUCCUUCGCCUUCGUCGGCAAGAACAUACAAGGCCUCCUUUGGUUUGUUGGAAUUUUAUAG